Molecule: ribosomal RNA, 585 nt
Filed under: uncultured bacterium
Lineage: Bacteria
Description: bacterial SSU rRNA
Rfam family: Bacterial small subunit ribosomal RNA
Source: RNAcentral
ACGGGUGAGUAAAGCGUAGGAAUCUGCCUAUUGGAGUGGGAUAACCUAGGGAAACUUAGGGUAAUACCGCAUAAGCCUUACGAGGUAAAGCAGGGGACCGCAAGGCCUUGCGCUAAUAGAUGAGCCUACGUCGGAUUAGCUAGUUGGUAGGGUAAAGGCCUACCAAGGCGACGAUCCGUAGCUGGUCUGAGAGGACGACCAGCCACACUGGGACUGAGACACGGCCCAGACUCCUACGGGAGGCAGCAGUGGGGAAUAUUGGACAAUGGGCGGAAGCCUGAUCCAGCAAUGCCGCGUGUGUGAAGAAGGCCUGCGGGUUGUAAAGCACUUUCAGUGGGGAGGAGAGGCCACAGGCUAAUAUCCUGUGGAAGAGACGUUACCCACAGAAGAAGCACCGGCUAACUCUGUGCCAGCAGCCGCGGUAAUACAGAGGGUGCAAGCGUUAAUCGGAAUUACUGGGCGUAAAGGGUGCGUAGGUGGUUGCAUAAGUUGGGUGUGAAAGUCCUGGGCUUAACCUGGGGACUGCGCCCAAUACUGUGUAGCUAGAGUACUGUAGAGGAAGGUGGAAUUUCCAGUGUAGCGGUG